AUGAAGGCCAGCCAACAUUUUGAGCAGCUUGAAGAGGAGAUUGAAUCCGGAUGCAAAUUCUCUGUAACGCACCCAACCAUCUAUGCUAACUGGUAUGCAAUUGCAACAUAUGGUCUCAUAACCAUCAGGCAAUUCCUAGCACGAAUGUGUAGUAUAGAAGUAGGACUAGGAAGACACGGAGAAUCAAACAGCACAAUAUUUUUGGCUGCAUCUUCUUAUGUACCCAAUCGUGCUGGUUUGAACCAUUUAUUACCUACAUGCAAGCAGCAAUGGUAUGGCAACCUACAGGCCAAUGAAACCAUGGUCGACAGGUCUGUAGAGUGGCUGCAGCUGGGCUGCUCCCACAGCCCCAUGUCAGCAAAUCGCCCUCUCUCUCACUCCAUCUAUAGCUAUCCUACCAAUUCUGAAGAUUGUCGGACAUGAACAGUAUCCU
RNAcentral lists this long non-coding RNA (433 nucleotides) under Oryza sativa Indica Group (long-grained rice). Its description in RNAcentral is "lncRNA OsZS97_06G011330". Lineage: Eukaryota; Viridiplantae; Streptophyta; Magnoliopsida; Poales; Poaceae. The record is from RNAcentral.